RNAcentral lists this ribosomal RNA (494 nucleotides) under uncultured bacterium. RNAcentral's name for it is "partial 16S ribosomal RNA". It matches the Rfam family "Bacterial small subunit ribosomal RNA", at positions 28 to 507 of the family's 1533-position model. The record is from RNAcentral.
GACGAACGCUGGCGGCGUGCUUAACACAUGCAAGUCGAACGGUGAAGCGCCUUCCUUUUUGGUGGGUGUGGAUGAGUGGCGAACGGGUGAGUAACACGUGAGUAACCUGCCCCCUUCUUCUGGAUAACCGCAUGAAAGUGUGGCUAAUACGGGAUAUUCUGGGUCUGUCGCAUGAUGGGUCUGGGAAAGAUAUUGUUUCGGUGGGGGAUGGGCUCGCGGCCUAUCAGCUUGUUGGUGGGGUGAUGGCCUACCAAGGCGGUGACGGGUAGCCGGCCUGAGAGGGUGGACGGUCACACUGGGACUGAGACACGGCCCAGACUCCUACGGGAGGCAGCAGUGGGGAAUAUUGCACAAUGGGCGCAAGCCUGAUGCAGCGACGCCGUGUGAGGGAUGGAGGCCUUCGGGUUGUGAACCUCUUUCGCCAGUGAAGCAGGCCUGCCUCGUUUGUGGGUGGGUCGACGGUAGCUGGAUAAGAAGCGCCGGCUAACUACGUG